RNAcentral lists this transfer RNA (72 nucleotides) under Camelus bactrianus (Bactrian camel). It matches the Rfam family "tRNA". From Rfam's summary of the family: Transfer RNA (tRNA) molecules are approximately 80 nucleotides in length. Their secondary structure includes four short double-helical elements and three loops (D, anti-codon, and T loops). Lineage: Eukaryota; Metazoa; Chordata; Mammalia; Artiodactyla; Camelidae. The record is from Rfam by way of RNAcentral. RNAcentral also lists the same sequence under 2 other names.
GGGGGUAUAGCUCAGUGGUAGAGCACGUGCUUAGCAUGCACGUUGUCCUGGGUUCAAUCCCCACUAUCUCCA